This 274-nucleotide ribosomal RNA is filed under the name uncultured bacterium. RNAcentral describes it as "partial 16S ribosomal RNA". It matches the Rfam family "Bacterial small subunit ribosomal RNA", at positions 523 to 796 of the family's 1533-position model. The record is from RNAcentral.
AUACGGAGGGUGCAAGCGUUAAUCGGAAUUACUGGGCGUAAAGCGCUCGUAGGCGGCUUGUUAAGUCGGAUGUGAAAGCCCCAGGCUCAACCUCAGAACUGCCUCCGAAACUGGCGAUCUCGAGUCCGGAAGAGGUGAGUGGAAUUCCCAGUGUAGAGGUGAAAUUCGUAGAUAUUGGGAAGAACACCAGUGGCGAAGGCGGCUCACUGGUCCGGUACUGACGCUGAGGUGCGAAAGCGUGGGGAGCAAACAGGAUUAGAAACCCCAGUAGUCC